This 75-nucleotide antisense RNA is filed under the name Streptomyces caelestis. RNAcentral's name for it is "ASpks TB sRNA". It matches the Rfam family "ASpks TB sRNA". The record is from Rfam by way of RNAcentral. Lineage: Bacteria; Bacillati; Actinomycetota; Actinomycetes; Kitasatosporales; Streptomycetaceae.
CUUCAGCGAGCCGAGCAGCAGCGGCCGGUCGGCGGGCCGGUCCUGGCCGUAGGUGGCCAGCAGCGCCUGUGCCUC